UGGAGAGUUUGAUCCUGGCUCAGGACGAACGCUGGCGGCGUGCCUAAUACAUGCAAGUCGAGCGAGGGUCUUCGGACCCUAGCGGCGGACGGGUGAGUAACACGUAGGCAACCUGCCUGUAAGACUGGGAUAACAUAGGGAAACUUAUGCUAAUACCGGAUAGGGUUUUGCUUCGCCUGAAGCGAAACGGAAAGAUGGCGCAAGCUAUCACUUACAGAUGGGCCUGCGGCGCAUUAGCUAGUUGGUGAGGUAAUGGCUCACCAAGGCGACGAUGCGUAGCCGACCUGAGAGGGUGACCGGCCACACUGGGACUGAGACACGGCCCAGACUCCUACGGGAGGCAGCAGUAGGGAAUUUUCCACAAUGGACGAAAGUCUGAUG
Molecule: ribosomal RNA, 381 nt
Filed under: Brevibacillus laterosporus
Lineage: Bacteria; Bacillati; Bacillota; Bacilli; Caryophanales; Paenibacillaceae
Description: bacterial SSU rRNA
Rfam family: Bacterial small subunit ribosomal RNA
Source: RNAcentral